This 198-nucleotide ribosomal RNA is filed under the name uncultured bacterium. RNAcentral describes it as "partial 16S ribosomal RNA". It matches the Rfam family "Bacterial small subunit ribosomal RNA", at positions 1305 to 1500 of the family's 1533-position model. The record is from RNAcentral.
CUGAAACCCGCCUCCAUGAAGUUGGAUUCGCUAGUAAUCGCGCAUCAGCCAUGGCGCGGUGAAUACGUUCCCGGGCCUUGUACACACCGCCCGUCACACCAUGGGAGUUUGUAACGCCCAAAGUCGGUGGCCUAACCUUUAUGGAGGGAGCCGCCUAAGGCGGGACAGAUGACUGGGGUGAAGUCGUAACAAGGUACC